GGCGGAAUAGCUCAGUUGGCUAGAGCAAACGGUUCAUACCCGUUAGGUCGCCGGUUCAAAUCCAGCUUCCGCUACCA
Molecule: transfer RNA, 77 nt
Filed under: Clostridia bacterium
Lineage: Bacteria; Bacillati; Bacillota; Clostridia
Description: tRNA-Met
Rfam family: tRNA
About the family: Transfer RNA (tRNA) molecules are approximately 80 nucleotides in length. Their secondary structure includes four short double-helical elements and three loops (D, anti-codon, and T loops).
Source: RNAcentral